AAAGAGAAAUAGAGAGACAGAGAGAAAGACAGAGAAAACCCCAAAUAGGAUCACAAGGAGUUGGACAACUUCCAGGAUAGCAGAGUAAGCAGCAAAUUUUCUAGGGCUACCCGAUGAGGAAACUGAGGCAGAAGUUAAAUAACAACUAUGGUCACACAGCUAUGAAUGUCUGAGGCUACACUUAAACUCAUCUCCCUAUAUCUACUACCUUAUCUACUACCUGGCUGCGUCUGUAUGGAGAGAAAGUGGAAUCAAAAAAGACACCUAGAUUGUGAGCCUAGGUGACUUGGAUGGCAUCUUCAACAGCAAUAGUUUCUCCCGAAAAGAAAGACCCAUUUUUUCACAUCAGUUUUCUUCUAGAGAUGUUCUAAGUCUAUAAAUCAUGCAAUACUAUGGUCCCCAAAGAAUUAUUGUGCAAGACAUCCAACAUGCAAGGGAAAGGUGUGUCUAUUGUUGGGAAUUAACUGCAUGUUACUGUCUACCAAGAAUUAUUCAAGAAAAUCAACAUAAAAAGUUAUCAUUAGAGAGGUGUGUAGCUAGAAAUGGAGGUGAGCUGGUCAUGUAGCGAGGGAGAGGGAUAUCUAGUAGACCACCCAAGUGUUACAUUUGUAUCCAUGAAAUGUCAAGAUAUCCAGAUACUGCUGAAUGUUGGGUGGACUCCAGGGGGAGGAUGUAAUGGAAGAAGUAGAGGAAAGUGCAUAGGGUGAGAAGCAUAGAUGGGCUGUGAGCUGUACUUUUGGAAGCACUCACAUUGAUGAGUUUAUACAUUCAUCAAAACAUUGAAGUUUUAUUAGUUUUAACAACUAAAUUAUGAAAUUUUUAUAAACCUAAAUGCCGUUCCAUUAGCAAAUGCAGAACUUUACCAUAAUUCUUAUGUAAAGCUAUCUCAGAUAUAUUUCAGUAAGUUCAUUUGUUCGGUAAUAAUUUGUUAAACAUUUGUUAUAUUUAUGGCAUUGUGAAGGUACGAAUUUAUUCAAAAUUUUCUUCAUGUUAAAUAAUUUACAUAUCUUCAGAACUGGUAUAUUUCAGAGAUCCAACAUAGCUACAGGUAGCUUAUCUGUCUCCUCUUCUGAUAACAGGACAUUAGGCAAUAUUUAUGUUUAGGGAGGCAUGGGAAUGAUAUUGGAAUCCAUAUAGAGCAGAACUAAGAGAUAUCCCUUAACUAUAUGUUGUGGGUUUUCAACAACAUCCAAUAAUUAUUUUAUGGUGUUCUGACCCAGAACUUUACUUGUUUUUAGCUGUGCUAUCAUAUGGACUCUUUUAAAAGUAUUUCCUGUUAUGAGGAGUUACCAGUUUACUUUAGAUUGAAGGUCAAACUUUCCGGAUCUGCUUUGACUUGAAAGUAAUAACCAUUUACAAGUGAGCAUAUUACUUUAAAAUAUGUUCCCUACCUUUGUAACUAAGAGCUACUGGGCUGUAAACUGCUUGCAUUUUUGUUUUUCUUCCCGGGUUAUUUUUACCUUCUGAAUCCAAUUCUCCCUGUG
This is a long non-coding RNA of Sarcophilus harrisii (Tasmanian devil), 1484 nucleotides long. RefSeq lists it as uncharacterized. The record is from RefSeq and is a predicted model, not a curated record. The transcript is spliced from 3 exons. NCBI's taxonomy places the organism in Eukaryota, Metazoa, Chordata, Mammalia, Dasyuromorphia, Dasyuridae.